This is a long non-coding RNA of Lolium rigidum, 542 nucleotides long. RefSeq lists it as uncharacterized. The record is from RefSeq and is a predicted model, not a curated record. The transcript is spliced from 4 exons. Lineage: Eukaryota; Viridiplantae; Streptophyta; Magnoliopsida; Poales; Poaceae.
GGUUCUUUGAGGUCAAACGGAAGGAGUUGAUGGGAGGCGUCGCCGGCGCGUGUUUCGGUGAUUGUGGGCGCGUCCCCUGCUCCUCCGAUUGCGAGCUGCAGGUAAUCCUGCACACAGAUCCAAUGCUGAACAUGACAUCUGACUACAAUGAGCCCCUGCCUUGAUAUUCACAUCUUGUAGAAAGGAUUACACAUGACUUUUAGAUUGGAAGACCAAGGUGAGUUUUGGUGGCAGUGGUAAUCUCCAACCAAGUGGUGCCCCAAGUGGACGGCAAUGCGAUGUUUGUUGGUCCGCAGCUCAAACUCAUUGGUGUGUUCUAUUGAGUAACCUGACAUCUCCCUAACGCCAAUUCUGUUCUAUUUCUUGCAUCUUGUUUAACAUCUUGUGCUGGUUCAGGAUCUCCGUAAGGGAAGGGGGAGGAGCGAAUAUGUAAAGUGGUAAGCUCUCCUUGCCUGGCUGAAGCUGAAGCAAGGUUUAACAAGCUCCGGGACUCAUUGUUCUGAUACAAACAAGAUUAGCAGUAUUUAAGAGUAUGCACAUAG